Molecule: ribosomal RNA, 462 nt
Filed under: uncultured bacterium
Lineage: Bacteria
Description: partial 16S ribosomal RNA
Rfam family: Bacterial small subunit ribosomal RNA
Source: RNAcentral
GACGAACGCUGGCGGCGUGCUUAACACAUGCAAGUCGAACGGUAAGGCCUUUCGGGGUACACGAGUGGCGAACGGGUGAGUAACACGUGGGUGAUCUGCCCUGCACUUCGGGAUAAGCCCGGGAAACUGGGUCUAAUACCGGAUAGGACUGCGCGGUGCAUGCCGUGUGGUGGAAAGAUUUAUCGGUGCAGGAUGGGCCCGCGGCCUAUCAGCUUGUUGGUGGGGUAAUGGCCUACCAAGGCGACGACGGGUAGCCGGCCUGAGAGGGCGACCGGCCACACUGGGACUGAGACACGGCCCAGACUCCUACGGGAGGCAGCAGUGGGGAAUAUUGCACAAUGGGCGCAAGCCUGAUGCAGCGACGCCGCGUGAGGGAUGACGGCCUUCGGAUUGUAAACCUCUUUCAGCAGGGACGAAGCGUGAGUGACGGUACCUGCAGAAGAAGCACCGGCCAACUACGUG